UACGUAGGGCGCAAGCGUUGUCCGGAAUUAUUGGGCGUAAAGAGCUCGUAGGCGGCCUGUUGCGUCCGCUGUGAAAACCCGGGGCUUAACCCCGGUUCUGCUUCCGGUACGGGCAUGCUGGAGUGUGGCAGGGGAGACUGGAAUUCCUGGUGUAGCGGUGGAAUGCGCAGAUAUCAGGAGGAACACCGGUGGCGAAGGCGGGUCUCUGGGCCAUUACUGACGCUGAGGAGCGAAAGCGUGGGGAGCGAACAGG
This 253-nucleotide ribosomal RNA is filed under the name uncultured bacterium. RNAcentral describes it as "partial 16S ribosomal RNA". It matches the Rfam family "Bacterial small subunit ribosomal RNA", at positions 524 to 776 of the family's 1533-position model. The record is from RNAcentral.